AUGAACGCUGGCGGCGUGCUUAAUACAUGCAAGUCGAACGAAGCACUUACGACGGAGUCCCUUCGGGGUGAAGAUGUUUGUGACUGAGUGGCGGACGGGUGAGUAACGCGUGGGUAACCUGCCUUAUGCAGGGGGACAACAGUUGGAAACGACUGCUAAUACCGCAUAAGCGCACGGCACCGCAUGGUGCAGUGUGAAAAGAUUUAUCGGCAUAAGAUGGACCCGCGUCUGAUUAGGUAGUUGGUGAGGUAACGGCCCACCAAGCCGACGAUCAGUAGCCGACUUGAGAGAGUGAUCGGCCACAUUGGGACUGAGACACGGCCCCAGACUCCUACGGGAGGCAGCAGUAGGGAAUAUUGCACAAUGGGGGAAACCCUGAUGCAGCGACGCCGCGUGAGUGAAGAAGUAUUUCGGUACGUAAAGCUCUAUCAGCAGGGAAGAUAAUGACGGUACCUGACUAAGAAGCCCCGGCUAACUACGUGCC
RNAcentral lists this ribosomal RNA (484 nucleotides) under uncultured bacterium. RNAcentral describes it as "bacterial SSU rRNA". It matches the Rfam family "Bacterial small subunit ribosomal RNA", at positions 29 to 509 of the family's 1533-position model. The record is from RNAcentral.